CAUAGCGUAGAUACUGGUGGUAGGCGACCGUAGCGUAGACACUGGGGGUAGGCGACCGUAGCGUAGGCACUGGGGGUAGGUUACCGUAGCGUAGACACUGGGGGUAGGUUACCGUAGCGUAGACACUGGGGUUAGGUUACCGUAGCGUAGACACUGGGGGUAGGCGACCGUAGACACUGGGGGUAGGUUACCGUAGACACUGGGGGUAGGUUACCGUAGCGUAGACACUGGGGGUAGGCGACCGUAGCGUAGACACUGGGGGUAGGCGACCAUAGACACUGGGGGUAGGCGACCGUAGCGUAGACACUGGGGGUAGGUUACCGUAGCGUAGACACUGGGGUAGGUUACCGUAGCGUAGACACUGGGGGAAGGUUACCGUAGCGUAGACCCUGGGGGUAGGUUACCGUAGCGUAGGAACUGGGGGUAGGUUACCGUAGCGUAGACACUGGGGGUAGGUUACCGUAGCGUAGACACUGGGGUAGGUUACCGUAGCGUAGACACUGGGGGUAGGUUACCGUAGCAUAGACACUGGGGUAGGUUACUGUAGACACUGGGGGUAGGUUACCGUAGCGUAGAUACUGGGGGUAGGCGACCGUAGCGUAGACACUGAGGGUAGGUUACCGUAGCGUAGGCACUGGGGGUAGGUUACCAUAGCGUAGAUACUGGGGGUAGGCGACCGUAGCGUAGACACUGAGGAUAGGUUACCGUAGCGUAGACACUGGGGGUAGGUUACCGUAGACACUGGGGGUAGGUUACCGUAGUGUAGGCACUGGGGGUAGGUUACUGUAGUGUAGGCACUGGGGUUAGGUUACCGUAGCGUAGACACUGGGGGUAGGUUACCGUAGCGUAGACACUGGGGUUAGGUUACCGUAGCGUAGACACUGGGGUUAGGUUACCGUAGCGUAGACACUGGGGGUAUGUUACCGUAGCGUAGACACUGGGGGUAGGUUACUGUAGCGUAGACACUGGGGGUAGGUUACCAUAGCGUAGAUACUGGGGGUAGUUUACCGUAGUGUAGACACUGGGGGUAGGUUACCAUAGCGUAGAUACUGGGGGUAGUUUACCGUAG
Molecule: long non-coding RNA, 1069 nt
Organism: Oncorhynchus keta (chum salmon)
Lineage: Eukaryota; Metazoa; Chordata; Actinopteri; Salmoniformes; Salmonidae
Exons: 4
Source: RefSeq, a predicted model, not a curated record